This 231-nucleotide unclassified non-coding RNA is filed under the name Hevea brasiliensis (rubber tree). Lineage: Eukaryota; Viridiplantae; Streptophyta; Magnoliopsida; Malpighiales; Euphorbiaceae. The record is from RNAcentral.
GAUUUUUUAACCUUGUUUGUAAAUAUAAAGAUUUUCCUACUUAUUCAAUACUAGUUGAGAGAUAUAUAUAACCGGGCUGUAUUAUAGAAAGACAUAAUAUAUAAAUAUGACAUUUAAUUUAGUUUUAACUCACAAUUAUGAUUUUAAUUUUGAGUGUGCACUUGUAAACUUUUAAAUUUGUACUAUAAAGUUGAAUAAUUAGACACACACGUCCUAUAUGACAUCUUACAU